UACAGAGGGUGCGAGCGUUGUUCGGAAUUAUUGGGCGUAAAGGGCGCGUAGGCGGUUCGACAAGUCGGAUGUGAAAUCUCCACGCUCAACGUGGAGGGGCCAUUCGAAACUGUCGUGACUUGAGUCCGGUAGGGGAGUGUGGAAUUCCCGGUGUAGCGGUGAAAUGCGCAGAGAUCGGGAGGAACACCCGUAGCGAAGGCGGCACUCUGGGCCGUGACUGACGCUGAGGAGCGAAAGCGUGGGGAGCAAACAGG
Molecule: ribosomal RNA, 254 nt
Filed under: uncultured bacterium
Lineage: Bacteria
Description: partial 16S ribosomal RNA
Rfam family: Bacterial small subunit ribosomal RNA
Source: RNAcentral